GUCUAUGGCCAUGCCACCCUGAACAUGCCCAAUCUCGUCUGAUCUCAGAAGCUAAGCAGGGUCAGGCCUGGUUAGUAUUUGGAUGGAAGACCACCUAGGAAUACCAGGUGCUGUAGGUG
Molecule: ribosomal RNA, 119 nt
Filed under: Pteropus alecto (black flying fox)
Lineage: Eukaryota; Metazoa; Chordata; Mammalia; Chiroptera; Pteropodidae
Source: RNAcentral